AACGCACAUUGCGCCCCUUGGUAUUCCGAGGGGCAUGCCUGUUCGAGCGUCAUUACGCCAAUCAAGCCUGGCUUGGUAUUGGGCCUUCGUCCCCCCUUUUCGGGAGGGCGUGCCCCGAAACCUUCGGCGAAGUCUCAUCGGCUUUGGGCGUAGUAGAAUUACUUCAAAACGUUCACGAGUCCGGCGAGGCCUUCUGCCGCUAAACCCCCAAUUUUUUCAGGUUGACCUCGGAUCAGGUAGGGAUACCCGCUGAACUUAA
This 259-nucleotide unclassified non-coding RNA is filed under the name uncultured fungus. RNAcentral describes it as "partial contains 5.8S ribosomal RNA, internal transcribed spacer 2, and large subunit ribosomal RNA". The stretch from base 1 to 52 matches the Rfam family "5.8S ribosomal RNA", at positions 103 to 154 of the family's 154-position model. The record is from RNAcentral. Lineage: Eukaryota; Fungi.